RNAcentral lists this ribosomal RNA (441 nucleotides) under Triticum aestivum (bread wheat). RNAcentral's name for it is "partial small subunit ribosomal RNA". The record is from RNAcentral. Lineage: Eukaryota; Viridiplantae; Streptophyta; Magnoliopsida; Poales; Poaceae.
AUGGCGUCUUCAGUGCCGCGCUCUGGAAAUCCUACUCUGCUGGGCUCUCUUGAGAAAGGGAAACGAAGGGAAAAUGUGAAAAACCUAAUAAGGGAAGAAAGAGAAGUGGGAAAUAUAACAUAUAAAAGCAACUCUCCAUCUACUUACACUUUGCACAAGUGGGCUGAGAUGUGCGAAAUGCGGAGAGCUGAGGACCCAUCCCUCAACCAAAACCCCUGUGGCUCCAUGCUGUGGUGGUGUAGAGAAUGGUCAGAAGUUUGGCAUGGUGGCGAAGGGUGUUGGGUGAGUAGCGGCGAUGCCAACGACUUGGUAGUGAGCGAUCCAUGGCGGCGGCGAAGGAAGAGCAUAGAGGUGACAUUCCUGUUUGGUCUGAGUUCGAGUCUGCGUGUUGCCCCCCUUAAAGUUGAAGCCAUAUCCUUGCUGGUCAGGGGUGCUCGAUAG